Molecule: long non-coding RNA, 1055 nt
Organism: Osmerus eperlanus (European smelt)
Lineage: Eukaryota; Metazoa; Chordata; Actinopteri; Osmeriformes; Osmeridae
Exons: 3
Source: RefSeq, a predicted model, not a curated record
AGGAGCGAGGACAUUUCUCCUGUGGCCUUGCCUCCAAUCCACUCUUGGCCAAUAAGGCGUCUUGGGAGGUCGAGUUUCACUAAAACAGAAGGACAUAAUCGUGGCCGUGAGUUGGCAGGAUCUCACAGCCAGUCUCGCCAGCAGGGAGCUCACUUCUUUCAUCUUUUCUGAGGUGCAAGUCCACUGUCGCCAUGUCUGAUACCGAGGACCUUGUUGAGGGUAAGUAAUGUUUGUUUCUUUACAUGCUUUUAUCAUGAGUGUUCUGUUCUACAAUUCCCUAUCAGUCUCAACUGUACAAAGUAAUGAUAGUAAAAUGCAAUGUGUGUUUUCUGGACCAUUGCCAAUGUUUUAUUAAACAGAAAUGUAUUCCUCGUUACAACAAUGAAAACACUACAUUUUCAGGUUUGGCUUGACUCCUAGGGUCCGAGAUGUACACUACUGUACAAACACAGACAUUGACUUACCAUGAUGUGAUACUCUUUUUUUUAAUUUUAUGUAUUUAACCUUUAUACUCUGUUCUAUUGAAUGUGGAAAAGUCUAGCUCUGAUUCCAAACCCUUCUUCCAGUUUGUAGAGAAGGGUUUCCUAUCACAACCUAUACUUACUAAUGCAUGGUUGCAGGCACCAUCAUUUACCACAGGACAUAUUAGACCUACUAGACCUUUCAUGCUCAAUUACAAAAUCUAAAUCAACUCACGUUGAAUAGUAUCGAUCUUCUAGCAACAGGUUCUGCAACUCUGUAUGAGAAACUGUAGUUGCUUGGUCCCCUUUGACUCUGCAUGUCUGAAAGUAAGGGAAGGAUACAAAGGUACUUCACCGUCAUGAUGCAGAUGUAGCUGAACAGCCCCGGCUGAUCGUGUCUUGAGUGUAAACAGCCCCACAGUAGACACAGCUGGGGCUGUUCCACUAUACAUGCUGAUCCUGACUGUGCAGGAGCUAUGGAGGGCAGUGUUGUGUAUGCUUAGCAUGUAUCCAUGCUGAACCCAUAUUUACAGUUUCUUGAAUUGGGUACAGCUUGGAUAUUUUGUUGACAUUUUUGUUUUGCUCCUUUCUUUG